UAGCUCAGUUGGUAGAGUGCUUGCUUUGCAUGCACAAGGCCCUGGGUUCAAUCCCCAG
Ictidomys tridecemlineatus (thirteen-lined ground squirrel) is the source of this 58-nucleotide non-coding RNA. Lineage: Eukaryota; Metazoa; Chordata; Mammalia; Rodentia; Sciuridae. The record is from Rfam.